CCUACGGGUGGCUGCAGUGGGGAAUAUUGGACAAUGGGGGCAACCCUGAUCCAGCCAUGCCGCGUGUGUGAAGAAGGCCCUCGGGUUGUAAAGCACUUUCAGUGAGGAAGAACGCCUGGUGGUUAAUACCCAUCAGGAAAGACAUCACUCACAGAAGAAGCACCGGCUAACUCCGUGCCAGCAGCCGCGGUAAUACGGAGGGUGCGAGCGUUAAUCGGAAUUACUGGGCGUAAAGCGCGCGUAGGUGGCUUGAUAAGCCGGUUGUGAAAGCCCCGGGCUCAACCUGGGAACGGCAUCCGGAACUGUCAAGCUAGAGUGCAGGAGAGGAAGGUAAAAUUCCCGGUGUAGCGGUGAAAUGCGUAGAGAUCGGGAGGAAUACCAGUGGCGAAGGCGGCCUUCUGGACUGACACUGACACUGAGGUGCGAAAGCGUGGGUAGCAAACAGGAUUAGAUACCCUUGUAGUC
RNAcentral lists this ribosomal RNA (465 nucleotides) under Vreelandella stevensii. RNAcentral describes it as "partial 16S ribosomal RNA". It matches the Rfam family "Bacterial small subunit ribosomal RNA", at positions 338 to 795 of the family's 1533-position model. The record is from RNAcentral. Lineage: Bacteria; Pseudomonadati; Pseudomonadota; Gammaproteobacteria; Oceanospirillales; Halomonadaceae.